AGUGGAUUGGUGGAAAUAGCACGCUUAGCAGAAUUGAAGCUUUUGAGCCAUUACAUUUUUUCUUCCUCAGGCAAAUCUCACAUAUUCUUUUUAAGAUUUUAUUUGUUUAUUUGAGAGAGAACGAUUGGGGCAAAGGGGCAGAGGGAAAGGGAGAAGCAGGCUCUCCACUGAGCAGGGAGCCUGAUGUGGGGCUGGAUCCCAGGACCCCAGGAUCAUGACCUGAGCCGAAGGCAGACACUUAACUGCCUGAGCCACCCAGGUGCCCCCAAAUCUCAUAUUUUUGUAUGCAGUUGAAGGGAAGAACACAGGCAGUGCCCAUUCUGGGCCAUGGUGCCUACCAGAGAGGCUAAAUCUCCUUCUCUAGGUGUCUUAUGUAUGCUUGGAGGAUAUAAUCCAAAUUAUCUGACAUAGGGGUCUUCCUCUGAGGUCCUGCAUCCCUGGGGUGUCUGUGCUAAGUUGAAAAACAGAGGAGUCUCUAGUCAAGCCCUGAAACAAUUUUUCUAGGACUUGUCCUGAUCGUUAAACACCAGUGGGGCAGGUGAUUGUCCACUCUGUUUAUUCUCCCAGCAGCCUCAAUGACCUGGGCAGGUGAGCAUCUCUUUUAGAAACUAUAUUUCCUUUCCAUUAGGGUCUAAUGGAUUGAGCUAUGUUUCCAAAACUAACGAGAGGUCGACUUCUACACCCAGGCUUAUAAACUGAAAUGAAAAAUGUACCUGAGCCAUGAAAACUGAAAUAUUGGGCUUUUUGGAGAAACUGCUUGGCAUGUGAGGCUGGACUAGAGCUACCUCCCUAACCAGCUUGUUACAGAAGUGACUCACACCCUCACCCCACCCAGGAAUAUCCUUUGGCUGUGUAUUAAAAAUGCCAGAGAACCCCAAGCCCAGAGACAUGGCAACCAAACCCAAGCUCUUCUACUUUCGUGGCCGGGGCAGGAUGGAGUCGAUCCACUGGCUGCUGGCUGCAGCUGGAGUGGAGGUUGGUUCCUGACUGGGAAAAGGAAGGAGGGUAAUUUGGGUGGACUGGAGUGGUCCUCUUCCCCCUUCAAAAUUUAGGAGGGUGCCUUCAAGAUAGAUCCACUCUUUCCCUUUCCACCUACCUUUCUUUGUAAGAGGUGAGAGAGGGAUCAUAGGCCUCUGUUUAAGCAAGGUUGGGAGGGUGGAAGCCUAAGGAGAUGUUCUGGAAGCUUCAUAGGGGCCCAAGAAGUCCUGGUGACUCAUAAGACAAAGGAGAGAGAGGAAACCCAUAACUGGAUUAUUGUCUUCACUGGAACCAGCUAAUUUCCUGUGGUCUUUCCAGCUCUGGCCUGGCAACUCAGUCUCGUUCUACCCAUGGCUGCCAACUGGAACCCUAGGCCCAGCUGCAGUCUGGUCUCCUCUUGAGCCUUCCUCGGAAAGGUCUGCCCCACUGGGAUCUUUCCUUAAUUCUGAAUUCCUUAACCAUUGACUUUUCCAUAGAUGUUCACAAGUUAUUUGGAAGGUAUAGACUUCUUUUUCCCCAUUUUAAUGCCAUCUUCUUUUUUAAAUUAUUAACAUAUAAGAAUGCCAUCUUCUUUAAGACAAGGACUCGUGCAUGACCUUCUUUGUUUUGUUCACCUUAUCCUACCCGCAUCUCAAGGUUUAGGGGACAAAAAAAAAAUCAAUCUUUCCCACAGAAGCUUUAGGGAUUCC
This is a long non-coding RNA of Zalophus californianus (California sea lion), 1667 nucleotides long. Lineage: Eukaryota; Metazoa; Chordata; Mammalia; Carnivora; Otariidae. The record is from Ensembl.